UUAACAACAUAAUUAUGGUCACCUAUCGGU
RNAcentral lists this small RNA (30 nucleotides) under Bombyx mori (domestic silkworm). RNAcentral's name for it is "ovarian small RNA-36322". The record is from RNAcentral. Lineage: Eukaryota; Metazoa; Arthropoda; Insecta; Lepidoptera; Bombycidae.